Molecule: ribosomal RNA, 300 nt
Filed under: uncultured bacterium
Lineage: Bacteria
Description: bacterial SSU rRNA
Rfam family: Bacterial small subunit ribosomal RNA
Source: RNAcentral
GCGUGAGUGAAGAAGGCCUUCGGGUUGUAAAGCUCUUUCGGCCGGGACGAAAUCGCUCUCGCUAAUAUCGAGAGUGGAUGACGGUACCGGAAGAAGAAGCACCGGCUAACUACGUGCCAGCAGCCGCGGUAAUACGUAGGGUGCAAGCGUUAAUCGGAAUUACUGGGCGUAAAGCGUGCGUAGGCGGUUUCGCAAGUCAGAUGUGAAAUCCCCGGGCUUAACCUGGGAACUGCGUUUGAAACUACGGAGCUAGAGUGUGGCAGAGGGGGGUGGAAUUCCAAGUGUAGCAGUGAAAUGCGU